AGGACGAACGCUGGCGGCGUGCUUAACACAUGCAAGUCAAGGGGGCCCAGUAGCAAUACUGGGCAACCGGCGAACGGGUGCGUAACACGUGAGCAACCUACCGAAAUGUGGGGGAUAGCCGGCCUAACGGCCGAGUAAUACCGCAUACGCUCUCGAUGAGGCAUUUCAUUGAGAGGAAACCUACGGGACAUUUCGAGGGGCUCGCGGCCUAUCAGCUAGUUGGCGAGGUAACGGCUCACCAAGGCAACGACGGGUAGC
This 258-nucleotide ribosomal RNA is filed under the name uncultured soil bacterium. Its description in RNAcentral is "partial 16S ribosomal RNA". It matches the Rfam family "Bacterial small subunit ribosomal RNA", at positions 26 to 287 of the family's 1533-position model. The record is from RNAcentral.